AACGAACGCUGGCGGCAGGCUUAACACAUGCAAGUCGAGCGCCCGCAAGGGAGCGGCAGACGGGUGAGUAACGCGUGGGAAUCUACCUAGUUCUACGGAACAACACAGGGAAACUUGUGCUAAUACCGUAUACGCCCUACGGGGGAAAGAUUUAUCGGAAUUAGAUGAGCCCGCGUUGGAUUAGCUAGUUGGUGGGGUAAUGGCCUACCAAGGCGACGAUCCAUAGCUGGUCUGAGAGGAUGAUCAGCCACACUGGGACUGAGACACGGCCCAGACUCCUACGGGAGGCAGCAGUGGGGAAUAUUGGACAAUGGGCGAAAGCCUGAUCCAGCCAUGCCGCGUGAGUGAUGAAGGCCUUAGGGUUGUAAAGCUCUUUCAGUAGGGAAGAAAAUGACGGUACCUGACUAAGAAGCCCCGGCUAACUACGUGCCAGCCGCCGCCGUAA
This 445-nucleotide ribosomal RNA is filed under the name uncultured bacterium. Its description in RNAcentral is "partial 16S ribosomal RNA". It matches the Rfam family "Bacterial small subunit ribosomal RNA", at positions 29 to 523 of the family's 1533-position model. The record is from RNAcentral.